AGCCUAUACAGGUGUUGCAUGGCUGUCGUCAGCUUCGUGUCGUGAGAUGUUCGGUUAAGUCCGCUAACGAGCGCAACCCUCGUCGUAUGUUGUAUGUGUCAUACGAGACUGGCCGGUAAAAGCCGGAGGAAGGUGAGGAUGAUGUCAAGUCAGCAUGACCUUUAUAUCCAGGGCUACACACACGCUACAAUGGUCUGUACAAUGGGUAGCCAAGCCGCGAGGCGGAGCCAAUCCUGAAAGCAGGCCUCAGUUCAGAUUGCAGUCUGCAACUCGACUGCAUGAAGCCGGAGUUGCUAGUAACCGCAGGUCAGCAAUACUGCGGUGAAUACGUUCCCGGGUCUU
RNAcentral lists this ribosomal RNA (342 nucleotides) under uncultured Anaerolineaceae bacterium. RNAcentral describes it as "bacterial SSU rRNA". It matches the Rfam family "Bacterial small subunit ribosomal RNA", at positions 1027 to 1382 of the family's 1533-position model. The record is from RNAcentral. Lineage: Bacteria; Bacillati; Chloroflexota; Anaerolineae; Anaerolineales; Anaerolineaceae.